GUAACCCUUCCCCAUUUUGAGCAAAAAAUAAAUGUGAAUGGGUCCUUCGCUGUACCCUUUUUUAGAGUAGGUCCCUUUCACAGGAAGGGAAAUUGUUAGGCAGUUAAGAUUAUAAACAGAUAACCUCUGCUUAUAGACCACUUUGAAUGUUUGGGGGGAAGAAGUUGUCAUUUGCUUUAACUGACCCACUUUAUAUCAAGGAACCAACACUAAAAUCCUUGUAUUAGCCAGUAUUGAUAAAUUAAGCCUUCACUUUUAUGGAUGUUCCUACCUGUGCCAUUAGCUGUUUCUAAUCAAAUGCCUAAGAGCUUUGCCUGAAUUGAGGACUUGGAGGAUGUUUUUUAAGGGUGAGUUUUUGAUGGUAAAAUUCUUCAAGUUGG
Molecule: long non-coding RNA, 380 nt
Filed under: Bos taurus (domestic cattle)
Lineage: Eukaryota; Metazoa; Chordata; Mammalia; Artiodactyla; Bovidae
Description: long non-coding RNA NONBTAT008270
Source: RNAcentral